CUCUGUAGUUAUAUGGCAUACAUUAUCAUCCAUACCAAUGAUUACGUUUUAGAGAUAUGUUUUGCCAUGUUCUCUUGGCAGCAUUUAUUUAUCCCAAUUCAAUAGUUUUCCUUCAGCUUUGAGUCAAUUAGACAAAUGUAGUCUAGAGUAAAUUAAGGGAUCUUUUCAAUUACUUUUCAGUUGUCAGAAUAAAAGCUGUCAAAUGUCGAGUUUUUUGUGGAGUUAGGCAGUUUGUCUAGAG
Pelobates cultripes (western spadefoot toad) is the source of this 241-nucleotide non-coding RNA. The record is from the annotation of a GenBank genome assembly. Lineage: Eukaryota; Metazoa; Chordata; Amphibia; Anura; Pelobatidae.